This 852-nucleotide ribosomal RNA is filed under the name uncultured bacterium. Its description in RNAcentral is "bacterial SSU rRNA". It matches the Rfam family "Bacterial small subunit ribosomal RNA", at positions 18 to 869 of the family's 1533-position model. The record is from RNAcentral.
CAUGGCUCAGAUUGAACGCUGGCGGAAUGCUUUACACAUGCAAGUCGAACGGUAGAGGGGGCAACCCCUUGAGAGUGGCGAACGGGUGAGUAAUGUAUCGGAACGUGCCCAGUCGUGGGGGAUAACGUAGUGAAAAUUACGCUAAUACCGCAUACGAUCUAUGGAUGAAAGCGGGGGAUCGCAAGACCUCGCGCGAUUGGAGCGGCCGAUAUCAGAUUAGGUAGUUGGUGGGGUAAAGGCUCACCAAGCCAACGAUCUGUAGCUGGUCUGAGAGGACGACCAGCCACACUGGAACUGAGACACGGUCCAGACUCCUACGGGAGGCAGCAGUGGGGAAUUUUGGACAAUGGACGCAAGUCUGAUCCAGCCAUUCCGCGUGCAGGACGAAGGCCUUCGGGUUGUAAACUGCUUUUGUACGGAACGAAAAAGCUCUUAUUAAUACUAGGAGUCCAUGACGGUACCGUAAGAAUAAGCACCGGCUAACUACGUGCCAGCAGCCGCGGUAAUACGUAGGGUGCAAGCGUUAAUCGGAAUUACUGGGCGUAAAGCGUGCGCAGGCGGUUAUAUAAGACAGAUGUGAAAUCCCCGAGCUUAACUUGGGAACUGCAUUUGUGACUGUAUAGCUAGAGUACGGCAGAGGGGGAUGGAAUUCCGCGUGUAGCAGUGAAAUGCGUAGAUAUGCGGAGGAACACCGAUGGCGAAAGGCAAUCCCCUGGGCCUGUACUGACGCUCAUGCACGAAAGCGUGGGGAGCAAACAGGAUUAGAUACCCUGGUAGUCCACGCCCUAAACGAUGUCAACUGGUUGUUGGGUCUUCACUGACUCAGUAACGAAGCUAACGCGUGAAGUUGAC